Molecule: long non-coding RNA, 3090 nt
Organism: Dreissena polymorpha
Lineage: Eukaryota; Metazoa; Mollusca; Bivalvia; Myida; Dreissenidae
Exons: 4
Source: RefSeq, a predicted model, not a curated record
AACAUGCGCACAAACAUCCGAUCCCUCUUUACACAAAAAGUACAUGUAUCACGAAACUGGUAUGUGACGAUUCCUAAAUCAUCGAUAUCAUAUUGCGAACGCAAGACACGCUUGCAACAACCAUGCAUACUUUUUGUGUGUUAUUCGUGUGUUUAUUGGUGAUUUGGGUUUCAGUUGACGAUUGCCAUGGUAACAAGUGGUCACUCGAUGAGUCAGACCUGGUCCCCUUCCAGGAUCGGGACCAAGACAAAAACUGGAUAGAGGAUCACGUCUGGGUGCCGAUUGUUAGCGGCCUUGUCCUGGUCGGUAUAAUCGUACUUUGCUGCUUGUGUUGCUGCGGUUGCUGCGCCUGCUGUAGGAGAGACCGUACCGUGGUGAUGCAGUCAGCACAGUCCAGCGUGGUUAUACAGAGCACGAACGUCAUGCACGCUGGGUAUAACCAGUAAUCCGGAUGAUGCAUUGGGAACUACUACACUGCACUACCAAAACACGCAACCUGUAUCUGACGUUAUACGUUUUUAAACAUAUAUUGUUAUGCCCCUUCGAAGAAGAGGGGGUAUAUUGUUUUGCUGGAUGUCGGUCGGUCUAUCGUUCGGUCUGUCAGUUUGUCGGUAGACCCAGUUCGUUUCCGAUCAACAACUUGUGAACGGAUUGACCGAUUGGCUUGAUACUUCACAUGUACAUUGGCCUUGGACAGUAGAUGAUCCCUAUAGAAAUUGGGGUCACUAGGUCAAAGGUCAAGGUCACUAUCACAAUAAGUGUAAAAAUCGUUUCCGAUCAAAAACUCGUCAACGAAUUUACCGAUUGGCUUGAUACAUCACUUGUACAUUGGCCUUGGACAGUAGAUGACCCCUAUUGAAAUUGGGUCAAUAGGUUUGGGGGGCAUAUGUCUCCGACCGCGGAACUCUUGUUCUAUUUUUUUAACUGAAAAAAAAAUCGUAUAAUAAAAGUAUUCUUUGUUGAACGUCUUAUAUGGAUAGUUGUGUACAUAUAAUGUAUUUGUAAUAUCCGUUGAAAAUAUUGGACAUGUACACUUUUUUAUUGUUUCAUAGCUGUUCGUUGGUAAUAUAAAACAAAGAUCACUCAAUAAAAUGAACCUUGCUCUCGGGAAAGGGGCUUAAUGCAUGUGAGAAAAGUGUUGUCCCAGAGCCUGUUCUACCCAUCUUUUCUCCACCAAACUGGAGUUUCGCUAAGAGGAGACUUUCUUUAAACGUAAAUACCAUAACAGCGGAAAGUGUCGUCGCCGAUAAGCCUGAACGGACUGCACAGUAUAAUCUAGGACGACACUUUACGCACAUGCAUUAAGCCCCUUUUCCCAAAGACUCAAGUAAGUUAGUAGAUCUCUGUAUAGUAAUGAUACAGGUUGCUUGAGGAAUUAUCUUUCUGUAAACUUUUGCUUGUGAUGAGUUGAACGAAGCCCUUAUCAAGAUGACAUCGAUCUGAAAUUGUUGUAUUCUUUCUACAAGGACUUUGCGCUGUCCCUGAUCAGGAGUUACCCCUUGUCCGCUAUUAACCCAUUUAUGCCUAGUGGACUCUCCCUUCCCUCAAAAUUGUAUCAAAUUAUUUCCAAAAUUAGGGAUGUCUAGUAUAUUUAUUUCUCUAUUUAGAAUACUUCUUACAGAAAUUCCUUUAAGCAAACAGCGCAGACCCAGAUGAGACGCCGCAUCUACGAGCUUUAAUGCACGUGUUUAGAAUUCCAUUAUAAACAUUCUAGCGUAACACUCUGUGGCUUCAUGUAUUAUUUAGACGCGUCAUUACAUUAUAAUGACUUACCCGUAAUGUGCUUGUGCUCCAGUGUAUGUACAUCCUUUUAGCUCAUAGUUAGGAUUGUGUAAUAGUUGAAGGAAAUUUGAUGGUUAUAGCUCUAUUGAGCCUUGUUCUGAGAAAACUGGGCUUAAUGCAUGUGCGUAAAGUGUCAUCCAAGAUUAGCAUGUGAAGUCCGCACAGGCUAAGCAGGGACGACACUCUCCGCAUAAACUUGAUUUUCGGUAAGGAGGGACUUCAUUGAAACUAAAAAUACCAUAAAAGCGGAAAGUGUCGUCCCUGAUUAGCCUGUGCGGACUGCACAGGCUUAUCUGGGACGACACUUUACGCACAUGCAUUAAGCCCAGUUUUCUCAGAACGCGGCUCUAUUGAUUUCAAUCUCAAACCAAUGUAUGGCAUGGUGUAUUGUUGAUUAUAUAUAUACCGUUGAGCUGAGUUAUUGUCUUAAAAAUAUGAUCUGUACGGUUGCUCUGUUUAAAUAUUUUGUUUAAGCAAUGUUUUAUUUUGUUAUUGUUAACAUUAUGCUAUAAAACAAUUUUGUUUACGAUUUUUGGUUAAUAUUUAUGCCAACAAUGCAAUAUUUUUAACAAGAUAACAACGCACCCUCUGUGAUUUUCGGGAUAUGGAAAGCCUUUUUUUUCUUUUAAUAACAAUUGCAGGGUUUUAUUAGUUUUUAUAACAUACGUUAGGAAUUUAGCUACAGCAGAAUGGCAGAGAUAGAGGGGGUUUCCUUUAUAAUUUGGAUUCCACACCCUUUUUAAAAUAUUCAUCACCCUUUUUGGUCCCUUUUUUCUUUGUCAAUGAUCUGGUUAAUACAGGAACACCCAACACGUUUAUAUUGGCGAUUGACAAUUUUAUAGAUUAACAUGCAGAAUUAAUUGAUAUUUACAUCAAAUUGUAAUAAAGAACAGACCUCGUUGAAUUAUGCUGAAUGGAUGUUUGAAUAUAUUAACUGAAGUGGAAUUAGCAAAAUAUACCACCCGACACAUUUUUAUGAAAUAGGUCACCCUUUUCCCUUUUCAGCCCCUUCCACCAUGUCAUUGUUCAAGUCUGGCUAAAUCCCCACAUACGUAUUUUAAAACUAGUGUGGUAAAAUUCGUGUGUAUGCAAUGCUCCUUAAUCUUGUUAUGGCAGGGCACAGAUUAAGUAUCGGGCAGUAGUGCUUAUCAACUUAUCAUCGUUGUCAUCCUAACCGCAUUUAAAAGAGACAUUCGUACUGUUUGACGCUGUAGGAUUUUACGACUUUUUUUAACACUAAGAAGUGGACUGUGUUUUUUGUUUUUUUAAGUAUUUUAUUUUGCGUAAAAUAAAUGUUACCAGUUUGUA